This 446-nucleotide ribosomal RNA is filed under the name uncultured bacterium. RNAcentral describes it as "partial 16S ribosomal RNA". It matches the Rfam family "Bacterial small subunit ribosomal RNA", at positions 338 to 795 of the family's 1533-position model. The record is from RNAcentral.
CCUACGGGUGGCAGCAGUCGAGAAUCAUUCACAAUGGGGGAAACCCUGAUGGUGCGACGCCGCGUGGGGGAAUGAAGGUCUUCGGAUUGUAAACCCCUGUCAUGUGGGAGCAAAUUAAAAAGAUAGUACCACAAGAGGAAUAGACGGCUAACUCUGUGCCAGGAGCCGCGGUAAUACAGAGGUCUCAAGCGUUGUGCGGAAUCACUGGGCUUAAAGGGUUCGUAGGGUGUUUCGUAAGUCGUGUGUGAACAGCGCGGGCUCAAACGGCGGACGGCAGAUGAUACUGGGAGACUAGAGUAAUGGAGGGGGAACCGGAAUUCGCGGUGUAGCAGUGAAAUGCGGAGAUAUCGAGAGGAACACUCGUGGCGAAGGCGGGUUCCUGGACAUUAACUGACGCUGAGGCACGAAGGCCAGGGGAGCGAAAGGGAUUAGAUACCCUGGUAGUC